This is a long non-coding RNA of Megalobrama amblycephala (Wuchang bream), 413 nucleotides long. RefSeq lists it as uncharacterized. The transcript has 3 exons. Lineage: Eukaryota; Metazoa; Chordata; Actinopteri; Cypriniformes; Xenocyprididae. The record is from RefSeq and is a predicted model, not a curated record.
GCGAGUAAAACAAACGAAUACUAAAGGUUGGACUCGAAAGUGUUUCUUACAACUUGUCAAAUAAACCUAAUCCAUGGAUAUUGACAUGCUGCCAGGAGUCGUGUUUCCUGACAUUUAUAUUUGCCUGAUUUCAACGCCGGGGAGACACAUAAAGCAAAUCUGCCUGUGAAUAUUUUAUAUAACUACAAUAUAGCUCUGCACAAUACGAGUCUGUGUGAGUUUGGGGUGGAGGACAGUGUACUCAAGUCAACAUAAAGCAGACACACCAGCAGAUACAGGCCACACCCGAACACUAAUGUGACCAAAAGGAUCUUUUCUCACCUAAAGCUCCCUGGCAGAUGUCCGUCCGCUUGGCGCCGUCCACAAUGAACUCAGGGUUUGAGCACAGCUCCUUUAAAAACAGAAAAUUGAGA